AAUGGCACAUCAGUAUCACCAUCGCUGAUCUGUAUUCCAGUAGCUCUGCAUCUCAGCCCCAGCAUCCUAUUCCACACUGAAACCUCGAAAUCUUCGCCCCUAGUGAAUGGGUAUUUUCAAUUAAUUUCUGAGGAAGGGGGGAAAAAGGUGAAACAGAGGAAUGAUUCAAUUGCAUUGCCCGCCCACGACAUGGAUGCCCACACCACCCACUCCAAGAUUCUAUCAGAUAUCUCCUUCUAUGAGAAAGUCGUUGCAAUGCCCCUGCCGGUGCUUCCCACCUUCAGCUUUACGGAAGUCUUUCUCACCAAUAAGCAACAAUGGGACCAAUAUCAAUUAUCAGAUGAAAUGCAGAAAGUUGGAUUGCUUGCUGACUAAGAAUGCCUUGGGAUAUUUCAAUUCUUUGCUACGGAAAAUGGAUCUUAAUAGUAAUUCUCAGGGCUCCCCCGUAAGACACAUAGUAGCAGCAUUGCCAUCAUAUUUCGCCUGUAGAUUGAUACAACUAGAUUCUAUGAAUAUGAAGACAACCGUAUUCCGAGAACUAUUCUUCUAUGCGAUUAAAGCAUUUGGUGCACAGAGUUUGCCUUUUGCUUGUAUAUCUAAUUCCUUGAACAAACCAACACCUCUUGGAUUGGAAGUGUCCUUGCCUUCAUUGAAAGAUAUCAAAUGGAGUUUUUCACGGCUAAUAUAUUUAUUCAACAUACAACUUGAGAAAAAUGUUGCCAUGUUUUUUGUUGUGCUUCUUGUUUCAUGCUUUGUAUUUGUUCUGAUUGGUGGCUUCCUCUUCUUUAAGUUCAGGACCAAUGCACAUUCUCUUGAGGAUUGCUUUUGGGAGGCCUGGGCAUGCCUGUGUUCAUCAUCUACUCAUCUAAAACAAAGAACACGGAUUGAACGUGUGAUUGGCUUUGUGCUCGCUAUAUGGGGCAUUUUGUUCUAUUCUCGCCUGCUAAGCACCAUGACAGAACAGUUCAGGGAUAACAUGCACAGACUUAGAGAGGGGGCACAGAUGCAAGUUUUGGAAACUGAUCAUAUUAUUGUUUGUGGAGUUAAUAGUCGUCUGAUGUUCGUACUAAAACAGCUAAAUAAGUAUCAUGAGUUCGCUGUUCGCUUAGGUACAGCUACAGCUAGACGACAGAGGAUCCUUCUUUUGUCUGAUCUUCCUAGAAGGCAGAUGGACAAAAUGGCUGACACCAUGGCAAAAGAUCUCAAACAUAUUGAUGUUCUUUCAAAAAGUUGCAGUCUAAGUUUGACAAGAUCAUUUGAAAGAGCAGCAGCUAAUAAGGCGCGCGCAAUUGUUAUAUUGCCAACUAAAGGAGAUCGGUACGAAAUUGAUACUGAUGCAUUUCUAUCCGUACUGGCUCUUCAACCUCUUCCAGAAAUGGCCUCUGUGCCCACUAUAGUUGAGGUUUCAAGUUCCAACACUUGUGAGCUUUUAAAAUCAAUUUCAGGAUUGAAUGUACAUCCUGUGCAGAAUGUUACAUCCAAGUUAUUUGUCCAGUGUUCUCGGCAGAAGGGACUUAUAAAAAUAUACAAACAUUUGCUUAACUAUCGAAAGAAUGUGUUUAAUCUAUGCAGUUUCCCUGACCUAGCAGGAUUGAGAUAUAAGCAAUUGAGACGUGGCUUUCAAGAGGCAGUUGUUUGUGGUCUGUAUCGAGGAGGGAAGAUAUAUUUCCACCCAAAUGAUGAUGAAGUAUUAGAACAAAGCGAUAAGAUUCUGUUUAUUGCACCCAUACAUGGGAAGAAGCAUCUACCACUUGAUUAUUUGAAUAGAGAAGAAUGCGAUUACGGUAAGGAUGAUUCUGAAAAUGUGGAGAAGGAUGGUAGAUUUACAAAUCAAACUAUGGACAUUAGAAAAGCAAGGCUUGAGAACAUCGUGAAACGAACAAGAUUUGGUUCUAAGGCAUCAGAUUUGUCUUUGGGACCAAAAGAGUGCAUACUAAUGCUGGGAUGGCGGCCAGAUGUUGUGGAAAUGAUUGAAGAAUAUGACAAUUACCUGGGUCCUGGCAGUGUAUUGGAAGUCUUGUCCUAUGUUCCCUUGGAUGACAGAAAUAAAGCUAGCAGACUUACUGGUCAUGGGAAGCUAAGGAAUGUGCAAAUUUCUCACAGGAUUGGAAACCCGAUGGACUAUGACACUCUGAACGACACAAUUGUAAGCAUUCAAAAAUCUUUAAAGAAAGAUGAAGAUAUUACAUUCUCCAUUGUUGUGAUAUCUGAUCGAGAAUGGCUCCUUGGAGAUCCAUCCAAGGGAGACAAGCAAUCUGCAUACUCUCUUCUCCUUGCUGAAAACAUUUGCAAUAAACUUGGGGUGAAGCAUUGCAGGUGCAAAACCUAGUUGCAGAAAUUGUUGAUUCCAAGUUUGGGAAACAGAUUACAAGAAUCAGGCCGUCCUUAACUUACAUUGCGGCGGAGGAAGUAAUGAGCCUCGUGACAGCUCAAGUUGCAGAAAACUGUGAGUUGGAUGAGGUCUGGAAAGACAUUUUAGAUGCCGAUGGGGAUGAAAUAUACAUUAAGGAUAUCCGCCUCUACAUGAAGGAAGGGGAGAAUCCUUCAUUUGCCGAGCUCAGUGAAAGAGCAUAUUUGCGAAGAGAAGUUGCCAUUGGUUAUGUCAAGAACAACAAAAACGUUCUGAACCCAAUUCCCAAGUCAGAGCCCCUUAAUCUUCAACUUGGUGACUCCCUGAUAGUCAUAUCUGAGCUUGAAGGAGAACAGCCUGUGGUCAUUGAAGCAGAGUCUUAAAGUUUUAAACAACUUCACAUAGAUUCAUGUAAUCCCAGGAAACUGCCCUUGUUUCUUGAAUUAUUCUCAUCCAUUUUAUUGAUUAUUUUCCCCUUAAUUUCUAAUACAUUUUGCCCUUAAUUUAAA
RNA transcript from Ipomoea nil (Japanese morning glory), 2859 nucleotides. It is a transcript of the gene named putative ion channel POLLUX-like 2, with no coding region annotated. The transcript has 25 exons. The record is from RefSeq and is a predicted model, not a curated record. Lineage: Eukaryota; Viridiplantae; Streptophyta; Magnoliopsida; Solanales; Convolvulaceae.